CCUACGGGUGGCAGCAGUGGGGAAUAUUGCGCAAUGGGCGAAAGUCUGACGCAGCGACGCCGCGUGAGGGAUGAAGGUCUUCGGAUCGUAAACCUCUGUCAGCAGGGAAGAACGGUCACUGUGCUAAUCAGCACUGAAUUGACGGUACCUGCAAAGGAAGCACAGGCUAACUCCGUGCCAGCAGCCGCGGUAAUACGGAGGGUGCGAGCGUUAAUUGGAAUUAUUGGGCGUAAGGCGCGCGUAGGCGGUAUGUCAAGUCAAGGGUGAAAUCCCCGGGCUCAACGUGGGAAUUGCCUUUGAUACUGGCAAGCUGGAGUGUGUGAGCGGAUGGUGGAAUGUAAGGUGUAGGGGUGAAAUCCGUAGAUAUC
RNAcentral lists this ribosomal RNA (368 nucleotides) under uncultured bacterium. RNAcentral describes it as "partial 16S ribosomal RNA". It matches the Rfam family "Bacterial small subunit ribosomal RNA", at positions 338 to 698 of the family's 1533-position model. The record is from RNAcentral.